AGUAGAGAGCCUGAAUUGAAAGGAUUAUCUUGAUAGGAUAAAUCAUGCAGCCACCUGCCUCUAUUA
Molecule: transfer RNA, 66 nt
Filed under: Mylabris aulica
Lineage: Eukaryota; Metazoa; Arthropoda; Insecta; Coleoptera; Meloidae
Description: tRNA-Ile
Source: RNAcentral